Homo sapiens (human) is the source of this 529-nucleotide long non-coding RNA. RefSeq lists it as uncharacterized. The transcript is spliced from 6 exons. Lineage: Eukaryota; Metazoa; Chordata; Mammalia; Primates; Hominidae. The record is from RefSeq and is a predicted model, not a curated record.
CCCUGAUGCUAAAAGGACAAGGUGAUCUUCAAAUUCUGUUUUCAGUGUGAUCAUGUUGCUGUCUCCUCCACAUUCUUCAGUAGCAUCUGGGUACUGACUUUUCAAUGAUGUGUCUUAAGAUGGAUCUAUUGCUAUUCAUAGGACUGGGAACAUGGUCACAUGGAGAAAACUGAGGACCAGCGAAGUGGCCUGCAGAAGUAACAAACUCCUUAACAAGUGCUAUGGCACCAGCUCAUCAGAAUGGACACUGGCUUUAAUGACUUUUGCAUUUCUGAAACCAGAUGACUUCACUGGAUGACUCCACUGAGACCCAAGACUCAAGACCCGACCAGUCCUGUGGCCCUCACGUCUACACAGUAUGUGUGAGGUUCAAUCUGACUAUCCAUCCUUUAUGGAAAUGCUACAUUACACAUUAACUCAAAGGCUGAGAAUCCAUUAAGUCAAGGACAGCUGGAUUGAUAAAGGGGACUGAGCAUGCCUGUCUUAUCCAGGCACCCGGUAAACAAGCCAGGCUCCAGUGCGGGUCCCC